RNAcentral lists this ribosomal RNA (185 nucleotides) under uncultured soil bacterium. RNAcentral describes it as "partial 16S ribosomal RNA". It matches the Rfam family "Bacterial small subunit ribosomal RNA", at positions 26 to 205 of the family's 1533-position model. The record is from RNAcentral.
AGAAUCAACGCUGGCGGCGUGCCUCAGACAUGCAAGUCGAACGCGAAAGUUCCCUUCGGGGGAUGAGUAGAGUGGCGCACGGGUGAGUAACACGUAGGUAAUCUACCUUUGGAUGGGGAAUAACAACCGGAAACGGUUGCUAAUACCGCAUAAUGCAGCGGCACCUAAUGGUGACAGUUGUUAAA